Molecule: non-coding RNA, 273 nt
Organism: Pelobates cultripes (western spadefoot toad)
Lineage: Eukaryota; Metazoa; Chordata; Amphibia; Anura; Pelobatidae
Source: the annotation of a GenBank genome assembly
UAAUCAGUCCCCUGAUUCUAUAACUAAAUUUGUUACUGCAACAUCUACAGCUACAUUGAAAUGUACGCCUUCCAGUUCUCCACUAGACAAUUAUAUUCACUGGUAUAUGCAGAAACCAAACAAAGAACCAAAAAGAAUUCUCUAUAUUUCGGGAGAAAAUAAGCUAUAUAGUGAUGGAAAUAACAAUGAAAAAUAUGUUUCAGAAAGAAGAGGAACUGAAGUUUCUUUAACAAUAAAAAGUUUAAAUACUGAAGAUUCUGGAACCUAUUAUUG